UACGGAGGGAGCUAGCGUUGUUCGGAAUUACUGGGCGUAAAGCGCACGUAGGCGGCUUUGUAAGUUAGAGGUGAAAGCCCGGGGCUCAACUCCGGAACUGCCUUUAAGACUGCAUCGCUUGAAUCCGGGAGAGGUGAGUGGAAUUCUGAGUGUAGAGGUGAAAUUCGUAGAUAUUCGGAAGAACACCAGUGGCGAAGGCGGCUCACUGGACCGGUAUUGACGCUGAGGUGCGAAAGCGUGGGGAGCAAACAGG
RNAcentral lists this ribosomal RNA (253 nucleotides) under uncultured bacterium. RNAcentral describes it as "partial 16S ribosomal RNA". It matches the Rfam family "Bacterial small subunit ribosomal RNA", at positions 524 to 776 of the family's 1533-position model. The record is from RNAcentral.